CCUUUCCCCACCGCUUUCUCAUUUCCUUUCGUUGGCUUGCAGACGAGUGAGCAGAUAACGUCGAUGAGGUCGCGUGGUCGCCGGCGACCACGACGGCGCCUACCGUCUCGGAGCAGAGGCUGGAGGCCGCAAGCCUUUGCGGCGCACUCCCUCUGGUUGCCGCACGCGAGACGAGCUCUCCGCGUCGGAGGCGAGGAGCGGUGGAGGAAAGAGGCGAGUAGCGGCGGCGGUCCUCGCCCUGGACAACGCGGCGGCGCGCCCCGUCUCGGGGCAGAGACCGGAGGGAAUUGCGGCGCACUCCCUCAGGCGACCGCGGGCGUGAGGAGUAUUUUCGCAUCGGGGGCGUGGAGCGGCAGAGGCGUGCGCCGACGAGCGGCGGUGGCGAGGAGCGGCACAGGCGAGGGCCGAGGAGCAGCGGAGGCGAGGCGGGCUGCGCCGUCCUCAAAAUAGUGCGACUUGGGGCCAUGGGUGAGGAGAGACCGCAUGUUGUGCUCCGACAUAUCUCGGUUGGAGAGCUUGAGCGCGAGUGCGGCAGGGAACCAGCUGUUUGCGGCGGCGAGGACCGCGGGGGGAACCAGCUCCUUGCGCGGUGAAAGGAGCUACACAGCACCGGAGUUGUCGGGUCUGACGCCACCGGUGGCGCUGGUGACAUCGGGAGAAGGUCGGCAUUCUGAAACCACCACCGCUCCGGCCACUUCGGUCGCAGAUGCAGGCCCCCGCCCCGCCUGCCUUCAUCAUCUUCGUCCCCGCAGGCCAGGCCGCUGCUCGCCCAUUCUUCUCGCAGGCUGCCAGUUUGUGGUUUGUUCUAGAACAGAUGGCAAGUUAGAGAUAAAAAUGUGACCCAUUAAAAAUGAUGGCAAAUUUGUUUGCAGUGA
Molecule: long non-coding RNA, 875 nt
Organism: Triticum aestivum (bread wheat)
Lineage: Eukaryota; Viridiplantae; Streptophyta; Magnoliopsida; Poales; Poaceae
Exons: 2
Source: RefSeq, a predicted model, not a curated record